UACGAAGGUGGCAAGCGUUGUUCGGAUUUACUGGGCGUAAAGGGAGCGUAGGUGGUUAGGUAAGCCCUCCGGGAAAUCUUCAGGCUUAACCUGAAAAGGUCGGGGGGGACUGCCUGGCUAGAGGACGGGAGAGGAGCGCGGAAUUCCCGGUGUAGCGGUGAAAUGCGUAGAGAUCGGGAGGAAGGCCGGUGGCGAAGGCGGCGCUCUGGAACGUUUCUGACACUGAGGCGCGAAAGCGUGGGGAGCAAACAGG
RNAcentral lists this ribosomal RNA (253 nucleotides) under uncultured bacterium. RNAcentral's name for it is "partial 16S ribosomal RNA". It matches the Rfam family "Bacterial small subunit ribosomal RNA", at positions 524 to 776 of the family's 1533-position model. The record is from RNAcentral.